GACGAACGCUGGCGGCGUGCUUAACACAUGCAAGUCGAACGGAAAGGCCCUGCUUGCAGGGUACUCGAGUGGCGAACGGGUGAGUAACACGUGGGUGAUCUGCCCUGCACUUCGGGAUAAGCCUGGGAAACUGGGUCUAAUACCGGAUAGGAGCCAUUUUUAGUGUGAUGGUUGGAAAGUUUUUUCGGUGUAGGAUGAGCUCGCGGCCUAUCAGCUUGUUGGUGGGGUAAUGGCCUACCAAGGCGGCGACGGGUAGCCGGCCUGAGAGGGUGGACGGCCACAUUGGGACUGAGAUACGGCCAGACUCCUACGGGAGGCAGCAGUGGGGAAUAUUGCACAAUGGGCGCAAGCCUGAUGCAGCGACGCCGCGUGGGGGAUGACGGCCUUCGGGUUGUAAACUCCUUUCGCUAGGGACGAAGCUUUUUGUGACGGUACCUAGAUAAGAAGCACCGGCUAACUACGUG
Molecule: ribosomal RNA, 464 nt
Filed under: uncultured bacterium
Lineage: Bacteria
Description: partial 16S ribosomal RNA
Rfam family: Bacterial small subunit ribosomal RNA
Source: RNAcentral